This 301-nucleotide ribosomal RNA is filed under the name uncultured bacterium. RNAcentral's name for it is "partial 16S ribosomal RNA". It matches the Rfam family "Bacterial small subunit ribosomal RNA", at positions 509 to 807 of the family's 1533-position model. The record is from RNAcentral.
CAGUAGCCGCGGGAAUACGUAGGGUGCGAGCGUUAAUCGGAAUUACUGGGCGUAAAGCGUGCGCAGGCGGUUAUAUAAGACAGAUGUGAAAUCCCCGGGCUCAGCCUGGGACCUGCAUUUGUGACUGUAUAGCUAGAGUACGGUAGAGGGGGAUGGAAUUCCGCGUGUAGCAGUGAAAUGCGUAGAUAUGCGGAGGAACACCGAUGGCGAAGGCAAUCCCCUGGACCUGUACUGACGCUCAUGCACGAAAGCGUGGGGAGCAAACAGGAUUAGAUACCCGGGUAGUCCCUGUCUCUUAUAC